This 305-nucleotide small RNA is filed under the name Canis lupus dingo (dingo). RNAcentral describes it as "7SK RNA (ENSCAFG00020007009.1)". The record is from RNAcentral. Lineage: Eukaryota; Metazoa; Chordata; Mammalia; Carnivora; Canidae.
GGCUUUUAACAAAGUCUAGCGGUGACACCUGUGACCAGGCUGAUUGCCAGGAUUGACUGGCUGAUCUGGCAUCUUAGCCCACAGUUCCCUUUCUCUGAGAACUCCAUGUGUGUUUUUCCCAAAGUGUCAACUCAAUCAAAAAGAAUGGCAUUUCCAAGCAGUCUACUCUUAGUCAAGAUAUAUGGGGAGUUAGAGUCCCUGGCUAGAUCUUUCCAACAAAUAGUGGACCUCCUCUUGCAAGCAAACAUAGGUUAGCCAAAUCCACUUUACAAAGUAUCUUUCUCCAUCUGAUAUUUUGUAAUAGU